Molecule: ribosomal RNA, 213 nt
Filed under: Clostridioides difficile
Lineage: Bacteria; Bacillati; Bacillota; Clostridia; Peptostreptococcales; Peptostreptococcaceae
Description: partial 23S ribosomal RNA
Rfam family: Bacterial large subunit ribosomal RNA
Source: RNAcentral
CCCAAGGGUUGGGCUGUUCGCCCAUUAAAGUGGUACGCGAGCUGGGUUCAGAACGUCGUGAGACAGUUCGGUCCCUAUCCGUCGCAGGCGUAGGAAAUUUGAGAAGGCCUGUCCUUAGUACGAGAGGACCGGGAUGGACGUACCUCUGGUGUACCAGUUGUCCUGCCAAGGGCAUGGCUGGGUAGCUAUGUACGGAAUGGAUAAGCGCUGAAA